AUUUAGUAUUGUCUAAGCAUUAUUUCCAUAUCCAACCUGCGGAUAGUGCUGUUUUUACCCAAAGUGCAUUAGGGAGCCAAAAUGGCUUGGGCACAAAUAAGUUACUGCAAGGUAAGCAAAACAUGGGAAUUAUAGCAUGUCUGCUAUUCCACCCUAAUGGCCCAUAUCCACACUUACUGUAGUAGCUAAAAGCUAGUCUGUGGUAUCUUAGGCUGCACUUACCAUGAAAGGACUGAAGUAAAAAUUCCUGCCCUCUUUUACUUUGCAGUAAUUUGCUUGUGUAUAUCCAUGCCACUAGAUUGGGUCUUGGGUGUGAUGUGCUUUUGGUACCAUUUGAGGUGGACUUCAAGUUGCCCAGACAAAGUUCUUGUCCACUAAGCUUUUCUAUUUUUGAAAAAUCUAGUUACCAAAGCCUGCAUUUCUGAAAGGGUCUGCAGUAAUGAUAACAAAACCCUCUUUCAUGUACGUAGGUCAACUAAAGCUCAUCUAGGUAGCUUGACUUUGCCAAAGGGUUUGCACGAGCCAGACACCAAGAACUAGUUAUUGGUGAAGUGACAGAUUUUGAUUUGGACCUGAUGAUCUCACAAGGUCCCUUCCAGCCCUAAACUUAAGUGAAUCUGUGAUCAUUCUACUAACUACUUACUGUUCCUUAGAGGAGCUCGUGCAGUACAAUGGACAGCAACUGAAUCCUAACCACUGGCAUGCCAUAAUUGCAGUAUGUAACCUUUAAAAGCUAGGGGGGAAAUCAGACAUAAUGGUUGAUGAUGGGUAGUCAGAUAGUCAUGGUUAAGUGAAACUUAACUAAGUUCAGAAGAGAUGAAGGCGAGUAAUCAGACUGUAGCUUGCUUCCCUUUGCUUACAGGUAAAAUUUUGUAGAGUACUUUUAUAUCUACUUUAAAGGCUGAUAUUCAAAUAACAUAGUGACUGGACAUGCACCAAUAGGUUAAGAAAAAAAAACCCCAAGAGACGCACAACAUUAGGCUGAGACAGUCGUAUUGAAAGAAAAAAGAAAAGAAAAAAGUUUUUUCUUCUUUAUUUCAGGUCCCCUGGCAUUUUUAUCUUGUACUGGUGCUCUAGGCUGAGCCAGCCACCUACGGCAUCUUGAGCAUGAACAGCUUAUCAGAGAAUCAGUUUCUAAUGCUGGUCUUUCAGAGGUCACAGGCAGUUGGUGGAGUUCAGCUACUUCUAUAUGGACUUAUGCUGUGGGGUGUUCUAACAUGGGUAGGCAUCAAGGGAUUUUACUGCCUGUGUGGAAUACUGCUGACCCAGGACUACCCGCUUGCUUCUGAUCAGCACAUAUCAUAUUGCCAGAACCAAUUCAACAUCGCUCUUAGAUGGCUACUGAGGAACCUGCUAUACAUUCAAAUUAAAGCUGGAUAGA
This is a long non-coding RNA of Alligator sinensis (Chinese alligator), 1381 nucleotides long. RefSeq lists it as uncharacterized. Lineage: Eukaryota; Metazoa; Chordata; Crocodylia; Alligatoridae. The record is from RefSeq and is a predicted model, not a curated record. The transcript is spliced from 3 exons.